Cylas formicarius (sweet potato weevil) is the source of this 343-nucleotide long non-coding RNA. RefSeq lists it as uncharacterized. The transcript is spliced from 3 exons. Lineage: Eukaryota; Metazoa; Arthropoda; Insecta; Coleoptera; Brentidae. The record is from RefSeq and is a predicted model, not a curated record.
GUGGUUUUGAUUAUCUCCGUACCUUUUUCGUGUUUUUGUGAAAAACUUGUUUUGUUUGUUAUCAAAAGUGUAAGGAAAAGAAUGCGUCUAUAUACGGGACUCCCACUCACAAACUUGUAUAAUUUAUGCUUUCAAUACUUCCUCCUUCACGUGUGGUCUCCAGACCUGACCCCUUGGGAUUUUUUUUUGUGGGGGAGAAUCAAAGACCUUGUAUUUCGAAAUCGCCCAACUACUAGAAAGGAAUUGGAGAGGUUCCUACUGCAUUCAUUCAGCUUCGUGCGGUAAAACUUCUUAAUGCAGAAAAUAGCGUCAAUAGAAGAUGUACGAUAUGUUUACAAGAAAA